This is a long non-coding RNA of Cygnus olor (mute swan), 1667 nucleotides long. RefSeq lists it as uncharacterized. The transcript is spliced from 4 exons. The record is from RefSeq and is a predicted model, not a curated record. NCBI's taxonomy places the organism in Eukaryota, Metazoa, Chordata, Aves, Anseriformes, Anatidae.
AACUGUGUGCAUAUCUGGGCAAAGAGAAGGUGUAUGGCUUUAAAAUGGCACAGUUGAUAAACAAGUAGCCUGGAGAAAAAAAUGACUGAACAAAGGUGCAUUUGUCUCUUGAGUAAGACGUUGCGUUAAUCACAAGUCAGUAUGCCACUGAUUUUCUCAGACAUUGCCUCCCAGGUGUGGGCAAUGUCCAUGCCAGGCCUGAGCACAGCUGUCACUGCAUUUUGAUUCAAAUACUGGGGGGCUUUUCCAUUGCCAACAUACGAGAACUGAGUGCUGAUGAUCUGCAAAAGCUCAUGAGGAGGUGAGAACUGGGCUGCUCUGCAGCCUCCACUGCUCUGCUGCCCAUCAGCUCCUGCUGCUGAACCGGGACGUGGCCAGAGGUGGCUGCUGCUGCCUGAAGAAAUGUUGCUGCGGUUCUGGGACGUUCACAGAGAGUGGUUUAACAGAGAUCCUAAAAAUGCAGUGAGCCCUCAGAAAGUUGUCUCUUGAUCCUUUUGAACUGUCACCAGUGGUCAGCCUCUUCUGAGCUGAUCUCAAACUGGUUGCAUGAGACUAUGAUGUGUGUGAUCAUGGUAUCUACGGUUGCUUAAUGGCAGAAGAACUGAAUAUCAUGUCAGCAACUGACUAUUAGUUCUUGGCAGAAAGAUUUGCAUAGGCAUUUGUGACAACCUGGCAAUGAAAUAAUGGUUAGCGUUGGCUGACUUCUACAGAGACAGAAACUUAAAUGAGCUCCAUCUGAAAGUAAUUGCUUUCAAAAUACGAAAUAAUGAUAGUGGAGGGAGCGGGGGAGGGAGAAGUGGGGGGAGGAGCUGUUCUUUACCUCGUGAUACAAUGCCAUGGUGAGAGCCAUAGCUGUGAAACUCCAGCACAAACCUGGCUCCACAGGUAAAAGCUACACAAAGAGCAGCCCGGAGGCCUACAGGCUAUGAAAGCUGCUGUGUUUUAAAGCACUGCCAGAUCCAAGUGGCUGGGGCAGGCUGGAGCCCGGGCACUUCUACUUGAGACUACCAUUGAAAUGCUUCUGUAUGGAGCUGGAGCCUUUUCUUUCACAUUUGAGCAUCCAGUGUAGGUGUGUACUACUGUACAGUAUGACACCGCUAACAAAGAUUAGCAAAGUGUUGGCUUUAACUUUUCUAAACCAUGUUGCUAAGUUUGCAAGCCUAACUGCAUCACAGUUAAUAUUCUAGAAAUAAGCAAUGUUGUUUUUUUUUUUUUUUGGCCUCCAUCAAUUGGGAAGAACGUUUGCUUGCUACAAGGGCUUUUUCUGAACAUAAGAAUGCAGAGCAACUUGUUUCCUAACUCCCUUUGCCAGACGAUGGGAAAUAAAUAAGCAACCAUCAGUGGCGAGAAGCGUAGAAAUGGAAAGAGAAUGCACACAGGCUGACCGUAAGUCUUAUUUCCUACAGGUAAGCAUUACAGAAAUCGGCUAAUUUCUGGGGGAUUUUUUUCACUGCAACCAAACAAAAAUUAUUAGUGUUCAACCAACCCCUUUUCUAUUGCACUGACCUCCCCUUGAUGUGCACCUCCCCGUCUUCAGUGCUGCCAUCACUUACGGUUAUAGUUUCAGAAUGGGGAAAUACUUCAGCAUUUCAAAGUAGUAAUAAGCACUAUUCAUCUCGCUACGAACCACGAAAUUACAGUUGCAAAGAAAAGAUCUGUGCCACAGA